AGUUUCAAUAUGACUGCCUGGAUGAAGAAGGAUUUGAGACUAAGUUUAUUCCUCCAAAGCAAACCAACUGAGAAUGCAGUUUUCAAUGCAACCCGUCAUCAAAGGGAAGGAGUUGAUGAAAAGAAAUGAAAUUGAAACGUGCACCUGGGGAGAAGUGAUUGAAGGUUCUUCAUUUAAGGGAUUGGCUCCUUUUCUCUUAUUAUACUGUGAAAUCUGAAAACAUCUCUUGAAAUUCUGGUCACUGUCUUCUGGACAUCCCAAGGCGCACCAUCUCCACAGUUCCUCCCUCCUAGAUUAUCCCAUCCAGUGUGGCAUCCAGUGUGGCAAAUGGAAAAAGACUCUUCCCAUGGGCAACUGAAAAGGACACCAAAGAAAGCAGAUACAGCCCAUGAUCAAAGAAGCACAUAACUUCAGUUUGGAACAUG
RNAcentral lists this long non-coding RNA (425 nucleotides) under Pan troglodytes (chimpanzee). RNAcentral describes it as "lincRNA". Lineage: Eukaryota; Metazoa; Chordata; Mammalia; Primates; Hominidae. The record is from RNAcentral.